Molecule: transfer RNA, 73 nt
Filed under: Ailuropoda melanoleuca (giant panda)
Lineage: Eukaryota; Metazoa; Chordata; Mammalia; Carnivora; Ursidae
Rfam family: tRNA
About the family: Transfer RNA (tRNA) molecules are approximately 80 nucleotides in length. Their secondary structure includes four short double-helical elements and three loops (D, anti-codon, and T loops).
Source: Rfam by way of RNAcentral
ACCCUGCUGGCUAAGUUGUUAGAGCGUGUGACUCUUGAUCUCGGGGUGGUGAGUUCAAGUCCCAUGUUGGGUA